Molecule: ribosomal RNA, 464 nt
Filed under: uncultured bacterium
Lineage: Bacteria
Description: partial 16S ribosomal RNA
Rfam family: Bacterial small subunit ribosomal RNA
Source: RNAcentral
CUACGGGCUGCACCAGUCGAGAAUCUUUUGCAAUGCGCGAAAGCGUGACAAUGCGACGCCGCGUGAGCGAUGAAGCCCUUCGGGGUGUAAAGCUCUGUCAGCCCGGAUGAAUAUGCGUUCUCUAAUACAGAACGGAGACGACAGUACGGGCAGAGGAAGCCACGGCUAACUCCGUGCCAGCAGCCGCGGUAAUACGGAGGUGGCAAGCGUUGUUCGGAUUUAUUGGGUGUAAAGGGUAUGUAGGCGUCCUGAUAAGUCGAAUGUGAAAUCCCUUGGCUUAACCAAGGAACUGCGUUCGAAACUAUCAGGAUUGAGCAUGGAAGAGGAGAGUGGAAUUUCCGGUGUAAGGGUGAAAUCUGUAGAUAUCGGGAGGAACACCAGUGGCGAAAGCGGCUCUCUGGUCCAAGGCUGACGCUGAAAUACGAAAGCAAGGGGAGCAAACAGGAUUAGAUACCCCAGUAGUC